RNAcentral lists this ribosomal RNA (492 nucleotides) under uncultured bacterium. Its description in RNAcentral is "bacterial SSU rRNA". It matches the Rfam family "Bacterial small subunit ribosomal RNA", at positions 51 to 524 of the family's 1533-position model. The record is from RNAcentral.
UAUCAUGCAAGUCGAGCGAACAGAUGAGAAGCUUGCUUCUCUGAUGUUAGCGGCGGACGGGUGAGUAACACGUGGGUAACCUACCUAUAAGACUGGGAUAACUCCGGGAAACCGGGGCUAAUACCGGAUAAUAUUUUGAACCGCAUGGUUCAAUAGUGAAAGACGGUUUCGGCUGUCACUUAUAGAUGGACCCGCGCCGUAUUAGCUAGUUGGUAAGGUAACGGCUUACCAAGGCGACGAUACGUAGCCGACCUGAGAGGGUGAUCGGCCACACUGGAACUGAGACACGGUCCAGACUCCUACGGGAGGCAGCAGUAGGGAAUCUUCCGCAAUGGGCGAAAGCCUGACGGAGCAACGCCGCGUGAGUGAUGAAGGUCUUCGGAUCGUAAAACUCUGUUGUUAGGGAAGAACAAAUUUGUUAGUAACUGAACAAGUCUUGACGGUACCUAACCAGAAAGCCACGGCUAACUACGUGCCAGCAGCCGCGGUAAU